This 263-nucleotide ribosomal RNA is filed under the name Synchytrium australe. Its description in RNAcentral is "partial 18S ribosomal RNA". It matches the Rfam family "Eukaryotic small subunit ribosomal RNA", at positions 1567 to 1831 of the family's 1831-position model. The record is from RNAcentral. Lineage: Eukaryota; Fungi; Chytridiomycota; Chytridiomycetes; Synchytriales; Synchytriaceae.
UUGGGGAUUGUCCAUUGCAAUUAUUGGACAUGAACGAGGAAUUCCUAGUAAGUGCAAGUCAUCAGCUUGCGUUGAUUACGUCCCUGCCCUUUGUACACACCGCCCGUCGCUACUACCGAUUGAACGGCUUAGUGAGACCUCCGGAUUGAAUUGUCGAGUACUUUACCGUCUUGACUCCUUGAAAAGCUGGUCAAACUUGGUCGUUUAGAGGAAGUAAAAGUCGUAACAAGGUAACCGUAGAUGAAUCUGCGGUUGGAUCAUUA